AUACGUAGGGGGCGAGCGUUGUCCGGAAUGAUUGGGCGUAAAGGGCGCGUAGGCGGCCCGGUACGUCUGGAGUGAAAGUCCUGCUUUUAAGGUGGGAAUUGCUUUGGAUACUGUCGGGCUUGAGUGCAGGAGAGGUAAGUGGAAUUCCCAGUGUAGCGGUGAAAUGCGUAGAGAUUGGGGGGAACACCAGUGGCGAAGGCGACUUACUGGGCUGUAACUGACGCUGAGGCGCGAAAGUGUGGGGAGCAAACAGGAUUAGAUACCCGGGUAGUCCACGCCGUAAACGAUGAAUACUAGGUGUUGGGAGACAAUAGUUUCUCGGUGCUGCAGCAAACGCAAUAAGUAUUCCACCUGGGGAGUACGUUCGCAAGAAUGAAACUUAAAGGAAUUGGCGGGG
This 397-nucleotide ribosomal RNA is filed under the name uncultured bacterium. Its description in RNAcentral is "partial 16S ribosomal RNA". It matches the Rfam family "Bacterial small subunit ribosomal RNA", at positions 523 to 918 of the family's 1533-position model. The record is from RNAcentral.